RNAcentral lists this ribosomal RNA (253 nucleotides) under uncultured bacterium. RNAcentral describes it as "partial 16S ribosomal RNA". It matches the Rfam family "Bacterial small subunit ribosomal RNA", at positions 524 to 776 of the family's 1533-position model. The record is from RNAcentral.
UACAGAGGGUGCGAGCGUUAAUCGGAAUUACUGGGCGUAAAGCGUGCGUAGACGGCUAUCUAAGUCUGAUGUGAAAGCCCUGGGCUCAACCUGGGAAUUGCAUUGGAUACUGGCAGGCUAGAGUGCGGUAGAGGAUGGCGGAAUUCCCGGUGUAGCAGUGAAAUGCGUAGAGAUCGGGAGGAACAUCUGUGGCGAAGGCGGCCAUCUGGACCAGCACUGACACUGAGGCACGAAAGCGUGGGGAGCAAACAGG